AAAACCCAAAUGCACAGGUACAAUAUGUGUGGUACCUUGCUUAAUAGUAGUAACUGUGAGAGGGAUUUUGGAGUUGUAGUGGACAGUCAUUUAAAUAUGAGUCAGCCGUGUGCAGCCGCCGCCAAAAAAGCCACCACAGUUCUAGGCUGCAUUAACAGAGGGAUAGAAUAAAGAUCACGUGAAGUGUUAAUAACACUUUAUAAUGCCUUGGUAAGGCCACACUUGGAAUACUGCAUCCAGUUUUGGUCACCACGAUGUAGAAAACAUGUUGAUACU
Molecule: non-coding RNA, 276 nt
Organism: Pseudonaja textilis
Lineage: Eukaryota; Metazoa; Chordata; Lepidosauria; Squamata; Elapidae
Source: RefSeq, a predicted model, not a curated record